AACGAACGCUGGCGGCAGGCCUAACACAUGCAAGUCGAGCGAGGACUUCGGUCCUAGCGGCGGAAGGGUGAGUAACGCGUGGGAACGUGCCCUUUGCUUAGGAAUAGACCUGGGAAACUGGGAGUAAUACCGGAUGAGCCCUUUGGGGGAAAGAUUUAUCGGCAAAGGAUCGGCCCGCGUUGGAUUAGGUAGUUGGUGGGGAAAUGGCCUACCAAGCCGACGAUCCAUAGAUGGUUUGAGAGGAUGAUUAGCCACACGGGGACUGGGACACGUCCCGGACUCCUAGGGGAGGAAGAGGAGGGGAAUCUUAGAAAAGGGGGGAAACCUUGAGCAAGCCAGGCGGCGUGAGCGAGGAAGGCCUUAGGGUUGUAAAGCUCUUUCAGCUGGGAAGAUAAUGACGGUACCAGAAGAAGAAGCCCCGGCUAACUCCGUG
RNAcentral lists this ribosomal RNA (433 nucleotides) under uncultured bacterium. RNAcentral's name for it is "partial 16S ribosomal RNA". It matches the Rfam family "Bacterial small subunit ribosomal RNA", at positions 29 to 507 of the family's 1533-position model. The record is from RNAcentral.